CGAGCGCACCCUUGUCCUCAGUUACCAGCACGUCAUGGUGGGCACUCUGGGGAGACUGCCGGUGACAAACCGGAGGAAGGUGGGGACGACGUCAAGCCAUCGUGGCCCUUACGGCCAGGGCUACACACGUGCUACAAUGGUGCAUACAGACGGUUGCCAAGCCGCAAGGUGGAGCUAAUCUGAGAAAGUGCAUCGUAGUCCGGAUUGGGGUCUGCAACUCGACCCCAUGAAGUCGGAAUCGCUAGUAAUCGUGAAUCAGAAUGUCACGGUGAAUACGUUCCCGGGCCUU
RNAcentral lists this ribosomal RNA (289 nucleotides) under uncultured Endozoicomonas sp. RNAcentral describes it as "partial 16S ribosomal RNA". It matches the Rfam family "Bacterial small subunit ribosomal RNA", at positions 1093 to 1382 of the family's 1533-position model. Lineage: Bacteria; Pseudomonadati; Pseudomonadota; Gammaproteobacteria; Oceanospirillales; Endozoicomonadaceae. The record is from RNAcentral.